AAAUGAAUUGACGGGGGCCCGCACAAGCAGUGGAGCGUGUGGUUUAAUUCGACGCAACGCGUAGAACCUUACCAGGGCUUGACAUCUUGUGACAGCUGUAGAAAUACGGUUUUCCGUAGCAAUACGGACACAAAGACAGGUGUUGCAUGGUUGUCGUCAGCUCGUGUCGUGAGAUGUUGGGUUAAGUCCCGCAACGAGCGCAACCCCUAUCCAGUGUUGCCAUCGGGAGAGCCGGGCACUCACUGGAGACUGCCGGAGACGAUCCGGAGGAAGGUGGGGAUGACGUCAAAUCAUCAUGGCCCUUAUGUCCUGGGCUACACACGCGCUACAAUGGCAGGUACAACGGGCAGCGAGAGGGUAACCUUGAGCGAAUCCCUUAAAACCUGUCUCAGUUCAGAUUGAGGGCUGCAACUCGCCCUCAUGAAGACGGAAUUGCUAGUAAUCGCGAAUCAGCUACGUCGCGGUGAAUACGUUCCCGGGCCUUGUACACACCGCCCGU
Molecule: ribosomal RNA, 499 nt
Filed under: uncultured bacterium
Lineage: Bacteria
Description: bacterial SSU rRNA
Rfam family: Bacterial small subunit ribosomal RNA
Source: RNAcentral